Molecule: non-coding RNA, 23 nt
Filed under: Arabidopsis thaliana (thale cress)
Lineage: Eukaryota; Viridiplantae; Streptophyta; Magnoliopsida; Brassicales; Brassicaceae
Source: RNAcentral
AUCGACCAAUGGUGUACCGCAGA